RNAcentral lists this ribosomal RNA (450 nucleotides) under uncultured bacterium. Its description in RNAcentral is "partial 16S ribosomal RNA". It matches the Rfam family "Bacterial small subunit ribosomal RNA", at positions 354 to 796 of the family's 1533-position model. The record is from RNAcentral.
GUGGGGAAUUUUGGACAAUGGGCGAAAGCCUGAUCCAGCCAUGCCGCGUGCAGGAUGAAGGCCUUCGGGUUGUAAACUGCUUUUGUACGGAACGAAAAGACUCCUUCUAAUAAAGGGGGUCCAUGACGGUACCGUAAGAAUAAGCACCGGCUAACUACGUGCCAGCAGCCGCGGUAAUACGUAGGGUGCAAGCGUUAAUCGGAAUUACUGGGCGUAAUGCGUGCGCAGGCGGUUAUAUAAGACAGAUGUGAAAUCCCCGGGCUCAACCUGGGAACUGCAUUUGUGACUGUAUAGCUAGAGUACGGUAGAGGGGGAUGGAAUUCCGCGUGUAGCAGUGAAAUGCGUAGAUAUGCGGAGGAACACCGAUGGCGAAGGCAAUCCCCUGGACCUGUACUGACGCUCAUGCACGAAAGCGUGGGGAGCAAACAGGAUUAGAUACCCGUGUAGUCC